AUGAACGCUGGCGGCGUGCCUAAUACAUGCAAGUCGAGCGAACAGAUGAGGAGCUUGCUCCUCUGACGUUAGCGGCGGACGGGGGAGUAACACGUGGAUAACCUACCUAUAAGACUGGGAUAACUUCGGGAAACCGGAGCUAAUACCGGAUAAUAUAUUGAACCGCAUGGUUCAAUAGUGAAAGACGGUUUUGCUGUCACUUAUAGAUGGAUCCGCGCCGCAUUAGCUAGUUGGUAAGGUAACGGCUUAGCAAGGCAACGAUGCGUAGCCGACCUGAGAGGGUGAUCGGCCACACUGGAACUGAGACACGGUCCAGACUCCUACGGGAGGCAGCAGUAGGGAAUCUUCCGCAAUGGGCGAAAGCCUGACGGAGCAACGCCGCGUGAGUGAUGAAGGUCUUCGGAUCGUAAAACUCUGUUAUUAGGGAAGAACAAAUGUGUAAGUAACUAUGCACGUCUUGACGGUACCUAAUCAGAAAGCCACGGCUAACUACGUG
This 496-nucleotide ribosomal RNA is filed under the name uncultured bacterium. Its description in RNAcentral is "partial 16S ribosomal RNA". It matches the Rfam family "Bacterial small subunit ribosomal RNA", at positions 29 to 507 of the family's 1533-position model. The record is from RNAcentral.